CAUGUAUUUCCUCCGUCCGGAAAUACUUGUCCUAUAAAUGAAUAAAAUUGAUGUAUCUAUAACUAUAAUAAGUCUAGAUACAAUCAUUACAAAUAUUUUCAGACGGAGGAAGUAUGUU
Molecule: non-coding RNA, 118 nt
Organism: Triticum aestivum (bread wheat)
Lineage: Eukaryota; Viridiplantae; Streptophyta; Magnoliopsida; Poales; Poaceae
Source: Rfam